UACGUAGGGUGCAAGCGUUGUCCGGAAUUAUUGGGCGUAAAGAGCUCGUAGGCGGUUUGUUGCGUCGGCUGUGAAAUCCCGAGGCUCAACCUCGGGUCUGCAGUCGAUACGAGCAAACUAGAGUGUUGCAGGGGAGACUGGAAUUCCUGGUGUAGCGGUGAAAUGCGCAGAUAUCAGGAGGAACACCGGUGGCGAAGGCGGGUCUCUGGGAAACAACUGACGCUGAGGAACGAAAGCGUGGGUAGCAAACAGG
This 253-nucleotide ribosomal RNA is filed under the name uncultured bacterium. RNAcentral describes it as "partial 16S ribosomal RNA". It matches the Rfam family "Bacterial small subunit ribosomal RNA", at positions 524 to 776 of the family's 1533-position model. The record is from RNAcentral.